RNAcentral lists this non-coding RNA (23 nucleotides) under Arabidopsis thaliana (thale cress). The record is from RNAcentral. Lineage: Eukaryota; Viridiplantae; Streptophyta; Magnoliopsida; Brassicales; Brassicaceae.
ACAACUCCGUCCUUUCUUAGUCU